This 194-nucleotide ribosomal RNA is filed under the name Fusarium verticillioides. Its description in RNAcentral is "partial large subunit ribosomal RNA". It matches the Rfam family "Eukaryotic large subunit ribosomal RNA", at positions 82 to 279 of the family's 3401-position model. The record is from RNAcentral. Lineage: Eukaryota; Fungi; Ascomycota; Sordariomycetes; Hypocreales; Nectriaceae.
AGUAACGGCGAGUGAAGCGGCAACAGCUCAAAUUUGAAAUCUGGCUCUCGGGCCCGAGUUGUAAUUUGUAGAGGAUACUUUUGAUGCGGUGCCUUCCGAGUUCCCUGGAACGGGACGCCAUAGAGGGUGAGAGCCCCGUCUGGUUGGAUGCCAAAUCUCUGUAAAGUUCCUUCAACGAGUCGAGUUGUGUGGGA